RNAcentral lists this ribosomal RNA (483 nucleotides) under uncultured bacterium. RNAcentral describes it as "bacterial SSU rRNA". It matches the Rfam family "Bacterial small subunit ribosomal RNA", at positions 28 to 496 of the family's 1533-position model. The record is from RNAcentral.
GAUGAACGCUAGCGGCAGGCUUAAUACAUGCAAGUCGAGGGGCAUCAAGGUACACGAAAGUGUAUUGUUGGCGACCGGCGGACGGGUGAGUAAUAGGUAGGUAACCUACCUCAUACUGAGGCAUAGCUGGGAGAAAUUCCAGGUAAUUCCUCAUGAGGUUAUAUGACACAUGUGAUAUAAUCAAAGGUAUCGCAAGGUACUGGUAUGAGAUGGGCUUACUGACCAUUAGCUAGUUGGUGAGAUAAGAGCUCACCAAGGCGAAGAUGGUUAGGGGUUUGAGAGAGAGAUCCCCCACAUUGGAACUGAGAUACGGUCCAGACUCCUACGGGAGGCAGCAGUAGGGAAUAUUGGGCAAUGGGCGGAAGCCUGACCCAGCCAUGCCGCGUGAAGGAGACGGCCUUAUGGGUUGUAAACUUCUUUACUAUGCGACUAACUAGAUUUACGAGAUAAUUCUAUAGAAUGUAGCAUAGACAAAAGCACCGG